UUCACCACAACUCAAUCUGAAGAGGUAGCAUCUUCUUCACCUUCAGAUCCAGAAUUGCCACUAGAAUUGUCUUAAGAAUCAGACCUCUCACUUGAGGUAUGGGCAUCUGUUUCCUUGGCUUAACUAAUAGUGGUUGUCCUACAGACUUCAUUGUCUGUGGCUUCUAAUUCAACAACUCCUUAUGUUCCUCUUCCUAGGAACUUAUUGAUUAUAGUUGGGGAGACCCUUACACACCUUCCUCUAACAAAC
RNAcentral lists this long non-coding RNA (249 nucleotides) under Lathyrus oleraceus (garden pea). Its description in RNAcentral is "Pisum sativum (pea) long non-coding RNA (PSAT_LNC033294)". The record is from RNAcentral. Lineage: Eukaryota; Viridiplantae; Streptophyta; Magnoliopsida; Fabales; Fabaceae.